GAUGAAGAACGCAGCGAAAUGCGAUACUUAAUGUGAAUUGCAGAAUUCAGUGAAUCAUCGAAUCUUUGAACGCAUAUUGCGCUCUCUGGUAUUCCGGAGAGCAUGCUUGUUUGAGUAUCAGUAAACACCUCAACUUCCAUAUCUUUUUUGAAAUGGGAGUUGGACUUGAGUGAUCCCAACGCUUUUCCUCACCGAAAAGUGGCGGGUUACUUGAAAUGCAGGUGCAGCUGGACUUUUCUCUGAGCUAUAAGCAUAUCUAUUUAGUCUGCCUAAAAAACAGAUUAUUACCUUUGCUGCAGCUAACAUAAAGGAGAUUAGUUCUUGUGCUGACUGAUGCAGGAUUCACAAAGACGGCUUCGGCCGACUUUGUAAACUCGAUCUCAAAUCAAGUAAGACUACCCGCUGAACUUAAGCAUAUCAAUAAGCGGAGGA
Molecule: unclassified non-coding RNA, 432 nt
Filed under: soil metagenome
Description: partial contains 5.8S ribosomal RNA, internal transcribed spacer 2, and large subunit ribosomal RNA
Rfam family: 5.8S ribosomal RNA (bases 1-120)
Source: RNAcentral